This 2486-nucleotide long non-coding RNA is filed under the name Varroa destructor (honeybee mite). RNAcentral's name for it is "uncharacterized LOC111254098, transcript variant X2". Lineage: Eukaryota; Metazoa; Arthropoda; Arachnida; Mesostigmata; Varroidae. The record is from RNAcentral.
UUCAAGAUGUAUCCAUUGCUAUAAACGCUCGCUUGGCCUUCUAUUUCCGUAACAAGCACGCUUUGAUCUUUUGUGUGCUUCUUCUACUAUCCGCCUUCAAACUGGCCUUUGUAUAUUUUUCAAGGAGGACCUCUGCUAUAACACGCAGAGUCACUGUAGCCGACUACUAAAGUAAGAAUUGUUCAUUUUUUUUUCGAAACUCGUGCCUUGUUUCGUCUCCUACGGUGAAUAUCAUAGUAUUGCGAGACAGCCGGACCCGUAAUUUCGUCAUAAGUCGUUUCAGUCAUAGUCAGUUGGCUUGAGCUGCCGCAGAGUUACCUUAGAAAAGUGGUGGAAGAGGAUUUUUUUAGACUUCUCCACUGUUCUGGUAGGCCUUGGAAGGGGGAGAAGCCUGUCUGCCACGGUUUGCAAGGUUCCAAAUGAGAACUGUUUGGCGACUGCCUAGACGGUUCCGGUUAACACUGGAUACCGCCAGCCGGAGGAGAAGUGCUAGCUAUCUAGGAACAGUAAAACUGCGACAGCAGGGUUAGGGAAUAAGGGAGGAGAAAGAGUGAAUAACGAAGUGGCCUCGAGAUUUUGCUACAGAAAGCGGAAAUUUAUGACACAGCAGGCUCAGAAGCCUACAAAGGCAAGACAAUGGCAAACCAGCGGUAGGCACGGUCAAAAUAACGGAAAAACCAACAUUACUGCAACCAUCGUGCCAAUGAUGGGGCAAGCGAGGCAUCGGACUACACAGGGGCAAUUCUGUAUUUUGGAAAAACAUUUCGCAGGCGGCUACGUCAGAAGGGUGGCGGUUUUUCUUUAACGAAAGGAUGCUUGCCAGAAGCUUCCGGCGUUUGCGCUUGCACGGCACCCUUGUGCAGCCCUACAGUCGGAAGGGCUAAGUUCAAGUGUUGUUUCCUUUCCCUGCUAGUAGUUUCAUAGCCAUUGCUGCUCUUAGUUCCCUGUAUCGCUGUCGAUGCGUGCGAAUGUAUAUGUGAAAACGCUCUCAACGCUGUACCUGACUCAAUGCAACUGGACGAAAUGUCCUCGUUUGGUACCUGCCGCUUAACCUGACCCCGAUGUAGCUAGGGAGUAGCUAUUUGUAAAUCUGCUAUCUUUCUCACCUGAAAGAAUUAGCAAGGAAAAAGGAUGUUAUUCGUGGAAAAGGAGAACAAAGGGCAGAAAGGAAAUAGCGAGAAGGUUGUACGGAAAAGUCCGAGAGAGGAAAACCCAGCGGUAUCGCGAGGCGCACACGCAUAUCCAAAACAAAAGCAACGGACUACGAGUGUAAGCGCAUAUGUGAGUUCAGGAAACGUCUCUGGCUCAAUUUCGAAUCGCAAACAGGUUUUACCAGCCUCGAGCUAAGAAUCUACUGAGACAUUCAAGAUAUUAAUUGCCGUCUGUAGAUAAAGGCAUUGUCAAGGCUAUCAUCAGUGUAAGCACCGAAAGAACACCAAAAAAGCCAGCAGUAUUCGCGAUGUGGCAUCGGGCUACGGGCGCAAGUUUUAUGUCAUCGCAGAAAUCGAACAGCUAAGCGAUGUUUCGGACUCGCAUUUCGCCAUCUUAUCUCUCGAAAACUUUAAGCAAAAGGAGAACUUCGCCGACCACGUGGCCGUAUGUGUUUGAAUAAGGCACGAGUAGUUCGUCUAAUGAUACAGCCUAUUGCAAUUUUGUUACCUGCUCAGGAACGUAUCAACGAAUAAAUCGGAUAUAAUCGAUGUCACCGAGUUAGAGCGUACCGAGUGUACCACAGUGUACGUACAUAUAAAUAGCUAUAAGAAAAUAGGAACACAUGAUACGCAAGAGGCGAGCUGACAAGCGGGAAGGACUGGUCAUCCUGUGAUGACUGAAGAUGUGCUUGAUCCGAAGUGAGUUCGUGUCAUACCCACACAUAGUCACCGAACUAGAACUAGACAUCGGUAAAUACAAACGAGUACAAUUGUUUUUUCUUAUCCAUUCAAUUUUAACCAUUUCUGAUUUAGCAAAUGCUGGAAAAAUAUGAAACAAUAAUGACAAUCGAGAGUACUUUGGAAAUAAUUUCACUAGUUUGCAUUGUCGGUGGUGAGCUGCUUUAUUAGAAGUGAUAGCUUCAUAAAUAUGUGACGUUCUUGAAGACCUUCAAGUAGUCUACUGUGACUGAUCUUCCUAUAAAACGAUACCUUGAAGUAUCUGCAAUGAUGAGAUCUACUCAAGGACUUCGGAAGAACAAAACGAAAGAAUUUUUUCAUUAACAUAAACGGGAGCUGAUUUCGCUGGCUCGCCUCUCGGGGCCGCAAUAACACUUCGGCUCUGAAAAUAUUACCCAAAAAAAAUCUCAAAUGCUUGUAGGGACAGCGACGUUAUUUGUUUGAUCUACUCUGUAUCAGGCUAAUUAGGGUAAUAACUUGGUGUGUCUGACAAGCAGGCUCAAUGUAUUAUAGAACAGAAAAUCUAAUUACUACCAGGCAGAAUACUUUCGAACUAUUGCGCUUCAUUGUACCUCAAUAAAGGUGUGCACAGCCCAG